GACAGAGGUGCCAAGCGUUAGGCGGAAUCACUGGGCUUAAAGCGUGUGUAGGCGGAUUGGUAAGUACCUUGUGAAAUCCCACAGCUCAACUGUGGAACUGCUCGGUAUACUGCUUAUCUUGAGCCACUUAGGGGCUGUCGGAACAAAUGGUGGAGCGGUGAAAUGCGCAGAUAUCAGGAGGAACACCGGUGGCGAAGGCGGCUUGCUGGGCCAGUUCUGACGCUGAGGAGCGAAAGCGUGGGGAGCGAACAGG
This 253-nucleotide ribosomal RNA is filed under the name uncultured bacterium. RNAcentral's name for it is "partial 16S ribosomal RNA". It matches the Rfam family "Bacterial small subunit ribosomal RNA", at positions 524 to 776 of the family's 1533-position model. The record is from RNAcentral.